UCCUAGCAGUAAAUGAUGCGGACUGGAUGCUACUUUUGCUUUGGGCAAUGGUAGUGUCGAAGCGAAGGCGAUAAGUCCGCCGCCUGGGGAGUACGGCCGCAAGGCUUAAACUUAAACCAAUUGGCGGGGGAGCACCACAAGGGGUGGAUGUUGCGGUUCAAUUGGAUAAAACGCCUGGAAUAUUACCGAGGGCGACAGCAGUAUGAAGGCCAGACUAAAGAUCUUGCCAGACG
RNAcentral lists this ribosomal RNA (233 nucleotides) under uncultured bacterium. RNAcentral's name for it is "partial 16S ribosomal RNA". It matches the Rfam family "Archaeal small subunit ribosomal RNA", at positions 745 to 977 of the family's 1478-position model. The record is from RNAcentral.